RNAcentral lists this unclassified non-coding RNA (347 nucleotides) under soil metagenome. Its description in RNAcentral is "partial contains 5.8S ribosomal RNA, internal transcribed spacer 2, and large subunit ribosomal RNA". The stretch from base 1 to 120 matches the Rfam family "5.8S ribosomal RNA", at positions 35 to 154 of the family's 154-position model. The record is from RNAcentral.
GAUGAAGAACGUAGCGAAAUGCGAUAACUAAUGUGAAUUGCAGAAUUCCGUGAAUCAUCGAGUCUUUGAACGCACAUUGCGCCCCCUGGUAUUCCGGGGGGCAUGCCUGUCCGAGCGUCAUUGCUGCCCAUCAAGCACGGCUUGUGUGUUGGGUCCCGUCCCCCUCUCCCGGGGGACGGACCCGAAAGGCAGCGGCGGCACCGCGUCCGGUCCUCGAGCGUAUGGGGCUUUGUCACCCGCUCUUGUAGGCCCGGCCGGCGCUUGCCGUCACCCAACCAUUUUUUUCAGGUUGACCUCGGAUCAGGUAGGGAUACCCGCUGAACUUAAGCAUAUCAAUAAGCGGAGGA